CCUACGGGGGGCAGCAGUGAGGAAUAUUGGUCAAUGGGCGCGAGCCUGAACCAGCCAAGUAGCGUGAAGGAUGACUGCCCUACGGGUUGUAAACUUCUUUUAUAAAGGAAUAAAGUGAUGCACGUGUGCCUUUUUGUAUGUACUUUAUGAAUAAGGAUCGGCUAACUCCGUGCCAGCAGCCGCGGUAAUACGGAGGAUCCGAGCGUUAUCCGGAUUUAUUGGGUUUAAAGGGAGCGCAGAUGGGUUGUUAAGUCAGUUGUGAAAGUUUGCGGCUCAACCGUAAAAUAGCAAUUGAAACUGGCAGUCUAGAGUACAGUUGAGGUAGGCGGAAUUCGUGGUGUAGCGGUGAAAUGCUUAGAUAUCACGAAGAACUCCGAUUGCGAAGGCAGCUUACUAAUCUGCCACUGACAUUGAUGCUCGAAAGUGUGGGUAUCAAACAGGAUUAGAUACCCCAGUAGUC
RNAcentral lists this ribosomal RNA (460 nucleotides) under uncultured bacterium. Its description in RNAcentral is "partial 16S ribosomal RNA". It matches the Rfam family "Bacterial small subunit ribosomal RNA", at positions 338 to 795 of the family's 1533-position model. The record is from RNAcentral.